Molecule: long non-coding RNA, 2110 nt
Organism: Gadus macrocephalus (Pacific cod)
Lineage: Eukaryota; Metazoa; Chordata; Actinopteri; Gadiformes; Gadidae
Exons: 2
Source: RefSeq, a predicted model, not a curated record
UUGAUAUAUUACACUUAACUCUGAGCACGAGUAUAUUAAAUGCGAUGAUCAAAUCUGUAUUUCCCCAGUAACAGUAUAGCAAACAUAAACAGUGAUUUCCCAGACUGGCAACAACUGGGAGAUACUCUGUGAAGUAAGCCUAAAACAGCGGUUUUCUAUCGAAAGCUUAUCAUUAAUUGACUUAAUGGUUCGCUCAAUGAUGGGGCCUAGGAAAACACAGUUAUCCCUUUUUUCCAUUUUCCUCCCAUGCAGCUGUUGCGUGGUGAAGGAAAUGGACUGCGCCACCUUAGACAUAAAGUUGGUACAACAGCAUAACCACUGCCACAAAUAUUGGAUUUGCUACUUUCAAUGGUCAUUGGCACAUUACAGCAUAGGUCUACAACCAAUAAUGUGGUUUAUUGGUAUUAUAUAACUAUAUAUACUUUAGUUUCAAUAUUAUGUGUAUUUCUAUUUCAAUUGAGUAUUAUUACAUUCCCUAAAAGUCAGUGUCUUUAUUUAGUUAGAUGUGUGUUAGGAUGUUAGCAUUUAUUUAAACAUAUCAUAUUUUACAGAUGUAAACAUAGCCACAGACAGACACACAGACGCACGCACACAAACACAACACAACAUACAGCAGGCUGUGCUGUGGUCACCACCUUAAGCCUCUCUUUAUUACGUUGGCACGUGGCAUGUCUUUCUGAUCAAUAUUAUUACUAUUAUUAUUAUUAUUAUUAUUAUUACAGCCUCACGCUUUGCUACAUAUCCCAGUGAGACAGGAAGUAAGAGCUAUUAAGAAAUGCAGACAGGAAGUGAGCUUAGUCCUCCACACGCACCAACAUGCACACACAAAGAUGUACAUUAGGGCUAAAGCAUUUGACCUGAAUGAGAUGGGGCGGCAAAUGUAUAAAGUGUAGCCUAGUAUUAUGUCGAAAGUAAACUGGAGACAUAAUCUGGAAUCGUAGCCUACAUGGAACAAUGAAAGAUUGUCAAACUGCUUUUUUUGGGCAAAGCUAAUUUUAAUUUUGGAAAACUUCUGAGGGCAACAAAAAUCAACCCCUGGGGUUUAGAUUUUUAAUUGAGAAGGUUGAGUGAAAGCUAGAUAUGGAUUGAGUUAUUUCAUAAUACAGCUUAAUGAAUGCUUAUUGUAAGAGUAAAGUACACACACAUUAUUGGUUUAUUGUAAAAAUAUGGAUAGCUGCCGUUAAUUAAUUAGUUAAUAGGGAGUUAAUUGGCCAUGUUUUAUUUAAAUUGUAGCCAAAACCUUCUCCUGCUAGUUUUUACCUUUUUAUCAGUGAACAAUUCCAGUUCCCCUAAUGUUGUGGUCAUCUGGCCAGUCACAUGGAGGGACAAAGAGAAGAACUUCCACUCUUUCAACAAAUAGAAGUGGAAACAAGUUGGGACUUUCCUAUUGGAACAGGUCAGAGAAAGUACCUUGACUCACACUGUGAAAAAACAACAUACUUUGAUGGCUUCCUGGUGUCUGCCCAGCACAGAGACUAUACACAGUCUGGUCUAGCGGAGGGGAAACUCAGCCAAUGUGGCAUACCUCUUGUCCGGCUGUGUUGAAUAAAAUAGCACUCAAUAUCUGGAACUUUUCAGGAAAAGUCUUUAAGAUUUAAAAACAUUGAGGAUGACUCAUCUUCACUACAUGUGCGCUUGCAACUUUCUCAAAUUUCCAUGCCUUUUACGGUAAAUGUGUGUGUGCUGGUAACAGGGCAAGAACGCUGAGCUGGUAAACCAGCAGGUCCACAGCCUCAUUGGCAGACAGCGUCUCUUAAUGGAAGAGCUCCUGAGAGUGAAGAGAAAGCAAGUUGUUGCUGUUCUGUGACAAAGUUCUUCUCCUUCUACCCUUAUCCUCUUUAUUGUGGCCUGUGGAUAAAAAACACCAGAGAAAGAAAAUGUGGGUGUGGUUUAGUGCUGAUCUGUAACCAAAGAGCAUUAUUUUGAGGAAUUGUUGAUAAUACCAAGAUGAAAGUUGUUUUAACAGUUGAUCUAGGGAGUCUUGUUGAGAAUUUCUGAGAGAAACAGGUUUAAGAAAGAUGCGAUGGCCUUGGGUACUGGCAUUCGUCAUUAUAGGUAUUAUCAGGCCUAAAAAAUUAGAUAUAAUUGGAUAUGAUUAGCAUUUGGCAUA